GUUAGGAAUAUUGGACAAUGGGCGCAAGCCUGAUCCAGCCAUGCCGCGUGAGUGGUGAAGGCCUUCGGGUUGUAAAGCUCUUUAGCCGAUGAUUAUAAUGACUGUAGUCGGAAAAUAAGCCCCGGCUAACUUCGUGCCAGCAGCCGCGGUAAUACGAAGGGGGCGAGCGUUAUUCGGAAUCACUGGGCGUAAAGCGUGCGUAGGCGGCUUUGCAAGUUGGGAGUGAAAGCCCAGGGCUCAACCCUGGAAUUGCUCUCAAAACUGCAAGGCUCGAAUUCGGGAGAGGAUAGCGGAAUUGUCAGUGUAGCAGUGAAAUGCGUAGAUAUUGACAGGAACACCAGUGGCGUAAGCGGCUAUCUGGACCGAUAUUGACGCUGAGGCACGAAAGCGUGGGGAUCAAACAGGAUUAGAAACCCGAGUAGUCC
This 425-nucleotide ribosomal RNA is filed under the name uncultured bacterium. RNAcentral's name for it is "partial 16S ribosomal RNA". It matches the Rfam family "Bacterial small subunit ribosomal RNA", at positions 354 to 796 of the family's 1533-position model. The record is from RNAcentral.